This 253-nucleotide ribosomal RNA is filed under the name uncultured bacterium. RNAcentral's name for it is "partial 16S ribosomal RNA". It matches the Rfam family "Bacterial small subunit ribosomal RNA", at positions 524 to 776 of the family's 1533-position model. The record is from RNAcentral.
CACGUAGGGCGCAAGCGUUGUCCGGAAUUAUUGGGCGUAAAGAGCUCGUAGGUGGUCUGUUGCGUCCGCUGUGAAAUCUCGGGGCUUAACCCCGAGCCUGCAGUGGAUACGGGCAGACUAGAGGUAGGUAGGGGAGAAUGGAAUUCCUGGUGUAGCGGUGAAAUGCGCAGAUAUCAGGAGGAACACCGGUGGCGAAAGCGCUCAUCUGGCCCAAUACUGACGCUGAGGCGCGAAAGCUAGGGGAGCAAACGGG